Molecule: ribosomal RNA, 512 nt
Filed under: uncultured bacterium
Lineage: Bacteria
Description: bacterial SSU rRNA
Rfam family: Bacterial small subunit ribosomal RNA
Source: RNAcentral
GGGGCAACCCCCGGUACAGUGGCGCACGGUGAGUAACACGUGGGUGAUCUGCCAGAAGAGGGAUAACCUCUCGAAGGGGGGCUAAUACCGCAUAGGACCACCGGGGCUUUGGCUCUGUGGUGGAAAGGGGGCCUCUGUUUACAAGCUCCUGCUUCUGGAUGAGCCCGCGUCCCAUCAGCUAGGUUGGUAGGGUAAUGGCCUACCAAGGCUACGACGGGUAGCUGGUCUAAGAGGAUGGCCAGCCACACUGGAACUGAGACACGGUCCAGACUCCUACGGGAGGCAGCAGGUGGGGAAUCUUGCGCAAUGGGCGAAAGCCUGACGCAGCGACGCCGCGUGGGUGACGAAGGCCUUCGGGUUGUAAAGCCCUGUGGGGUAGAACGAACUGGCAUCGGGCUAAUAUCCCGGUGUCUUGACGGUACUGCCUUAGCAAGCAUCGGCUAACUCUGUGCCAGCAGCCGCGGUAAGACAGAGGAUGCGAACGUUGCUCGGAUUUACUGGGCGUAAAGCGC